Sebastes umbrosus (honeycomb rockfish) is the source of this 463-nucleotide long non-coding RNA. RefSeq lists it as uncharacterized. The record is from RefSeq and is a predicted model, not a curated record. Lineage: Eukaryota; Metazoa; Chordata; Actinopteri; Perciformes; Sebastidae. The transcript has 3 exons.
UGCCCUCUGCUGGUCAAACAUUCAGCUUUAAGGGUUUUAGUUAAGGACAACUUGAGCUUGAGUGAAGGAUUCACUUCCACAACCACAAACCAUCUUUGUCCCUCUGCAUAUGUCAGCAAUGCAGCAGUUGGCAUAAACAGUCAGAAAAAAAACACCACUGUGUACCCAGAUAACAACACCUGGCAUUGUUGCAGCAUGAGAAGUCCUGCUUGCCUUUCCAGUCAGGCCCCACAUGGCCGUGUCAAACUGACGAGAUGAGCUAAUAGUGAAGCUGAGUGUUGGCAUACUGUGGGACCAGGAGUUUAUCUAAGCUGCUCUGCUCAUCUACCUGCUCCCGACCCGGUAAGAUAAAUCUUUUACUAAAGCUCUUGUGGAAACUAAAUUAUCAACAUGAUGUUAUACAUUCUUAGCUAUGACAGUUUUAAGUAAGCAUUGAGGUGAUUAGAGCCAUCAAAGUGGCGAU